Molecule: transfer RNA, 50 nt
Filed under: Halimolobos elatus
Lineage: Eukaryota; Viridiplantae; Streptophyta; Magnoliopsida; Brassicales; Brassicaceae
Description: partial tRNA-Leu
Source: RNAcentral
GAAAAUCCGUUGACUUUUAAAAUCGUGAGGGUUCAAGUCCCUCUAUCCCC